Long non-coding RNA from Canis lupus familiaris (dog), 930 nucleotides. RefSeq lists it as uncharacterized. NCBI's taxonomy places the organism in Eukaryota, Metazoa, Chordata, Mammalia, Carnivora, Canidae. The record is from RefSeq and is a predicted model, not a curated record. The transcript has 4 exons.
CUGACCACAUGCCACAGUUGACCGUGAGUAACUGAAACCACAGAAAGCAAAACUGCGGAUAGGAGGCACCACUGUAACAGGAUGUAAUGUGGUCUCCUUCUCGAUCAUUAACAACCUCAAUCUGAUCAUGAGAAAUCUCAGGAGAUGUAAUGAAAGAAGACCCAGGAUGAGGACAGCAGGCAGAGUGACGCCUUUGGCUGCUCCAUCCCGAAUUCACUAGGUGCUUUAAUGUGUUACUGAGCUUGCAAAGCUCUGUAGGCAGGGAAGACUCACUUGAGUCCCUUUCAUCUCCAUGGAGUGGACAGAUGAAUCCGACUAAGUAAUGAGGUGAUCUGGAUCUGCGCAUCAAAUCUCUUCCAGAUGAGGCAAACACUUCCUCCAUCCUUGAUGAGUCCCUUUGGGGGCUGUAAAACGAAUGUGAUUUGUUGGAAGCCAUACACCAGUGAGCUCGCUGAAGAGAAUGGGUCUGUUCUGCAAGAUGUGGCACAGGGACUACAAGUGUGGGACCCCUCAACAGCAGCUUUGCGGGAGCCUCAGAAGCCCAACUGCUCUCGGCAGGCAGUCAUCCCAUGACUGCAGACUCCCCCAGGAUGUCUGUGAAGGAUGAUUGCUGAUGACCACUGGUCAAUGCCAUAUGUUGCCCUUUGUAGGAAGAGGAUGAAGAUGGGGGCUCAUGGCACAGCAUCUUGUUUCUUUUCAUCUCCUAGUAGCAGAUCUAGGUUUGAACACACAGGUCAUGCUCUUGCAUGUCUCCCUGCACAUCCAGCAGUGGAGGUUGGUAAAGGCUCGAGGCACACAGGCCUGUAGGGCUGAAACUGUUGUCAUCUUUGUGAAAACCUGUUUCCUGGCUCUGAUAACUCCUACUGGCUCACCAGCCCAGGUGCCUCUGGUCCUGCCCACCCCUGACAAACAUGGUCCUGACAUCCUAAA